UGUGGGAGCGAGCCUGCUCGCGAUAGCGGUAUUUCAGUCGACAUCCUUGUUGUCUGAUACACCCUCAUCGCGAGCAGGCUCGCUCCCACA
This 90-nucleotide non-coding RNA is filed under the name Pseudomonas sp. LAIL14HWK12:I2. RNAcentral also lists the same sequence under 2 other names. The record is from RNAcentral. Lineage: Bacteria; Pseudomonadati; Pseudomonadota; Gammaproteobacteria; Pseudomonadales; Pseudomonadaceae.